AUUGAACGCUGGCGGCAUGCUUUACACAUGCAAGUCGAACGGCAGCGCGGGCUUCGGCCUGGCGGCGAGUGGCGAACGGGUGAGUAAUACAUCGGAACGUGCCCAGUAGUGGGGGAUAGCUCGGCGAAAGCCGGAUUAAUACCGCAUACGACCUGAGGGUGAAAGCGGGGGAUCUUCGGACCUCGCGCUAUUUGAGCGGCCGAUGGCGGAUUAGCUAGUUGGUGGGGUAAAGGCCUACCAAGGCGACGAUCUGUAGCUGGUCUGUGAGGACGACCAGCCACACUGGGACUGAGACGCGGCCCAGACUCCUACGGGAGGCAGCAGUGGGGAAUUUUGGGCAAUGGGCGAAAGCCUGAUCCAGCAAUGCCGCGUGUGUGAUGAAGGCCUUCGGGUUGUAAAGCACUUUUGGCGGGAACGAAAAGGACUGUGCCAAUACCACGGUUCGAUGACGGUACCCGCAGAAUAAGCACCGGCUAACUACGUG
RNAcentral lists this ribosomal RNA (484 nucleotides) under uncultured bacterium. RNAcentral describes it as "partial 16S ribosomal RNA". It matches the Rfam family "Bacterial small subunit ribosomal RNA", at positions 29 to 507 of the family's 1533-position model. The record is from RNAcentral.